GCAGGGCAAGAACCACGCUAGCAGGCACGACAGCCCAAUUAAAGACGCCGGUCGGCGGCUGUUGAUUCGCAGGCGCUGCGCAGAAGCCCUGGAGAGGGCUGGAAGCUCUGCAGCCUUCCUGGACCCCCCAGCAAGCCCAACCCUGCCUGGCUCCGGAUCUGUCAUGCCUGGAUGGGUUUAAAGAACCGCGACCCAUUCUAAUGGAACAGGAAGCAGAAACUUCAUCGCCAGUUGCAAGUCUAAAGAUCAGCUGUAGGCUGAAGACUCCCAAACAGAUGCAGGGGGACCCCAUGGAGAACUCUGACACCUCACAGGAGCGUGAUGAAACCAUGAGAUAAAAGGAGCCUGGAUCCCUGAAUGACUGUGUGGAGCAGAGCCUCACCUGCUGUCUCUCCAACCAGCAUUUAAUUGUAAUCUGGGGCCCCAGUGUGGACCAAACAGCCCAGAAGUUGCCUACAACCAGUUUAAUUAUGAAAAUGACCUUAAGCUGACCUUACCUGCUGCCUGACCUGUUUCUACAUCCUAAGAUGCUUAUUGCACAACCAGAAACCCUCCUGUUGAAAAUACAGCUGGAAGCCAAGUGUAAAUGGAGGGUGACCGUGGAAAACAUUCCUCUGGUCCCUCAGCGUGAGGGCACAUCUCAUGCAGUGGCAUGAGGAUGAGAAAUCAGAUGCCCAGAGCCCGUCACCUUGAAACAGGCACCUCCAACCCUCUUACUUUAGUUGUCCCAAACAUUGGAUGUUCCUUAAAAACCACCUGUUUUCUGUGUCCUAUUUUGUUUUGUCCACUGUGCAAAACAAAGGACGGAUUUACCCACUCUAUGAGAGGGAAGGAUGGGAAGAGCAAUGUCACAUUAGGACUUUCCCAGUUGUCCUUGGUUUUAAGAAGCCAGGUGUAAUGAGAAAACACCAGAUGGUGGUGGUAUAGUUGCCUGAAACCAGAACGUCCCCACCCUUAUGCCCAGCACCACGAGAAUCUUCCUCUGGACGGGACCUUGGCCUAGCUGGCAAAAAAAGAAGAUGGGAACAGAGCAUUGUGAGAAGACCAUACAAAUGGCUAGAAAACCAAAGAGAGCUUUAAUUUCCAUUGGCAUGUGAGCCGAGGCUGUAGCGUUUCUCCUAUCAACUCCAAGGGGCUCAAGCUAGGAAUCUAAGGGUGUGUGUGCCAAAAGCCCUCUAUGAUCCACACCUUCUAGUAUUCAUGCCCUUGGGUAGUCCCCUUCCACGUUGUACCAUGAUUAGUCUGUGUGAUAGAAUUAUGGCUUCCAAAGAUUUCACGUCUUAAUCCCUGGGACCUGUGAAUACAUUAUGUUGCCUGACAAGAGGGAAUUAAGGUUGAGAAUGGAACUAAGGUUGCUGCCCAAUUGACCCUGAGAUGGGGAGAGAUUAUCCUGGGUUAUGUGGGUGGGUCCAGUGUAAUUAUGAGAGAUCUUAAAUGGCAAAGAGGGAAACAGAAGAGAUCAUCAGAUCCAGAGAGAUCACCUCAUUAGAAAGACUCUACUGGGCAUUGUUGGCUUUGAACAAGGAAUUCAGACAGCCUCUGUCUAGAAGCUGGAGACAAGAAAAUAAAUUCUCCUCUAUACCUCCAGAAUGAUGAACGUAGUCCUGCCUACACCUUGGCUUUAGCCCAUUGAAAGCCACUUUAGAUUUCUGACAUCCAGAACUGUAA
This is a long non-coding RNA of Canis lupus familiaris (dog), 1668 nucleotides long. RefSeq lists it as uncharacterized. NCBI's taxonomy places the organism in Eukaryota, Metazoa, Chordata, Mammalia, Carnivora, Canidae. The transcript has 4 exons. The record is from RefSeq and is a predicted model, not a curated record.